RNAcentral lists this ribosomal RNA (431 nucleotides) under uncultured bacterium. RNAcentral's name for it is "partial 16S ribosomal RNA". It matches the Rfam family "Bacterial small subunit ribosomal RNA", at positions 29 to 507 of the family's 1533-position model. The record is from RNAcentral.
AACGAACGCUGGCGGCUGGCUUAACACAUGCAAGUCGAACGCCCCGCAAGGGGAGUGGCAGACGGGUGAGUAACGCGUGGGAACAUACCCUUUUCUACGGAAUAGCUCUGGGAAACUGGAAUUAAUACCGUAUACGCCCUACGGGGGAAAGAUUUAUCGGGGAAGGAUUGGCCCGCGUUGGAUUAGCUAGUUGGUGGGGUAAAGGCCUACCAAGGCGACGAUCCAUAGCUGGUCUGAGAGGAUGAUCAGCCACAUUGGGACUGAGACACGGCCCAAACUCCUACGGGAGGCAGCAGUGGGGAAUAUUGGACAAUGGGCGCAAGCCUGAUCCAGCCAUGCCGCGUGAGUGAUGAAGGCCUUAGGGUUGUAAAGCUCUUUCACCGAUGAAGAUAAUGACGGUAGUCGGUGAAGAAGCCCCGGCUAACUUCGUG